This 606-nucleotide ribosomal RNA is filed under the name Psychopsis coelivaga. Its description in RNAcentral is "12S ribosomal RNA". Lineage: Eukaryota; Metazoa; Arthropoda; Insecta; Neuroptera; Psychopsidae. The record is from RNAcentral.
GCGGUUAUACAAAAGAUAUAAAUAAAUUUGGUUAAUAAAUAGUUAAUUGAUUUAUUAAUAAAUAAUGUAGCAUUAUAAAUAUAAGGUUAAAUUUAAUUUUGUGAUUAAGUUAUAAAUUAGUGAUGAAGCUAUAAAAUUUUAAAUAUAAACUAGGAUUAGAUACCCUAUUAUUUGAAAUAUAAAUGGUUAAUGUUUAGGUAGUAAUAGUUAUGAGCUUGAAACUUAAAAAAUUUGGCGGUGUUUUAGUCUAUUUAGAGGAAUCUGUUCCAUAAUCGAUAGUCCACGAUAUAUAGUACUAAUUUUAUAUAAUUUGUAUACCAUUGUUAUCAGAAUAUCUUAUAAGAGAGUAAUAUUCAGUUAAUAUAAUUUUAUGAUAUUUCAGAUCAAGGUGCAGUUUAUAAAUUAGAGGAAAUGGAUUACAAUAAAUAAAUUUAUAUGGAUAAAUUAUUGUAAAAUAAUUUUGAAGGUGGAUUUAAUAGUAAAUUUAAUAAAAUUAUUGAGUUGAUUUUUAGCUCUAAAACAUGCACACAUCGCCCGUCGCUCUUUUAAUUAAAAAAAGAUAAGUCGUAACAUAGUAGGUGUACUGGAAAGUGUAUCUAGAAUGAU